Prosopis cineraria is the source of this 235-nucleotide long non-coding RNA. RefSeq lists it as uncharacterized. The record is from RefSeq and is a predicted model, not a curated record. The transcript has 3 exons. NCBI's taxonomy places the organism in Eukaryota, Viridiplantae, Streptophyta, Magnoliopsida, Fabales, Fabaceae.
GCCGUCGUAGGUGCACCUAUCGCUGGUUCAUCCACCUCAUUUGCGAGUUCUUCCCCUAUUUCAUAGCUAUUCAUCUGCCUCUGUCACUGCUUCAAUGUAGUCCUUCCUUCUUCACUGUUUGAAGUUGCUUCCUCCUUCCUCUGUCCAUGCGUGUUGGUUCAUCUAAGGGUGUGUGGAAGAACAGGACCCUGACAAGAAUUAAAGGAAGAGUAUCUUUGGGGAAUUGGGAACUUCA